GACGAACGCUGGCGGUGUGCUUAACACAUGCAAGUCGAACGGAAAGGCCCUGCUUUUGUGGGGUGCUCGAGUGGCGAACGGGUGAGUAACACGUGAGUAACCUGCCCUUGACUUUGGGAUAACUUCAGGAAACUGGGGCUAAUACCGGAUAGGAGCUCCUGCUGCAUGGUGGGGGGUGGAAAGUUUCGGCGGUUGGGGAUGGACUCGCGGCUUAUCAGCUUGUUGGUGGGGUAGUGGCUUACCAAGGCUUUGACGGGUAGCCGGCCUGAGAGGGUGACCGGCCACAUUGGGACUGAGAUACGGCCCAGACUCCUACGGGAGGCAGCAGUGGGGAAUAUUGCACAAUGGGCGGAAGCCUGAUGCAGCAACGCCGCGUGCGGGAUGACGGCCUUCGGGUUGUAAACCGCUUUCGCCUGUGACGAAGCGUGAGUGACGGUAAUGGGUAAAGAAGCACCGGCUAACUACGUG
Molecule: ribosomal RNA, 468 nt
Filed under: uncultured bacterium
Lineage: Bacteria
Description: partial 16S ribosomal RNA
Rfam family: Bacterial small subunit ribosomal RNA
Source: RNAcentral